UCAGGAUGAACGCUAGCGGCAGGCUAACACAUGCAAGUCGAGGGGUAACGGGGAGUAGCAAUACUCUGCUGACGACCGGCGCACGGGUGCGUAACGCGUAUGCAACCUACCUUGUACAGGGGGAUAACGGAGAGAAAUUUCCACUAAUAUCCCAUAGUGUUACGGAAUCGCAUGGUUCUGUAACUAAAGCUUCGGUGGUACAAGAUGGGCAUGCGUGACAUUAGGUAGUUGGCGGGGCAACGGCCCACCAAGCCGACGAUGUCUAGGGGAGCUGAGAGGCUUAUCCCCCACACUGGUACUGAGACACGGACCAGACUCCUACGGGAGGCAGCAGUGAGGAAUAUUGGUCAAUGGACGGAAGUCUGAACCAGCCAUGCCGCGUGGGAAGGAAGAAGGUCCUAUGGGUUGUAAACUCCUUUUGUUCCAGAGUAAUAAGGUCUUUGCGAAGACUGAUGAGAGUAUGGGACGAAUAAGCAUCGGCUAACUCCGUGCCAGCCGCCGC
RNAcentral lists this ribosomal RNA (502 nucleotides) under uncultured bacterium. RNAcentral's name for it is "bacterial SSU rRNA". It matches the Rfam family "Bacterial small subunit ribosomal RNA", at positions 24 to 518 of the family's 1533-position model. The record is from RNAcentral.